AGCGAACGCUGGCGGCAUGCCUAACACAUGCAAGUCGAACGAGACCUUCGGGUCUAGUGGCGCACGGGUGCGUAACGCGUGGGAAUCUGCCCUUCGGUUCGGAAUAACAGUGGGAAACUACUGCUAAUACCGGAUAAUGACGUAAGUCCAAAGAUUUAUCGCCGAAGGAUGAGCCCGCGUAGGAUUAGCUAGUUGGUGGGGUAAAGGCCUACCAAGGCGACGAUCCAUAGCNGGUCUGAGAGGAUGAUCAGCCACACUGGGACUGAGACACGGCCCAGACUCCUACGGGAGGCAGCAGUGGGAAUAUUGGACAAUGGGCGCAAGCCUGAUCCAGCAAUGCCGCGUGAGUGAUGAAGGCCUUCGGGUUGUAA
This 371-nucleotide ribosomal RNA is filed under the name uncultured bacterium. Its description in RNAcentral is "bacterial SSU rRNA". It matches the Rfam family "Bacterial small subunit ribosomal RNA", at positions 29 to 428 of the family's 1533-position model. The record is from RNAcentral.